Apis laboriosa (Himalayan honeybee) is the source of this 877-nucleotide long non-coding RNA. RefSeq lists it as uncharacterized. The record is from RefSeq and is a predicted model, not a curated record. Lineage: Eukaryota; Metazoa; Arthropoda; Insecta; Hymenoptera; Apidae. The transcript has 3 exons.
UUGAAAGGCGUUCAUGUGCGCAAUUGCAAUGAAGGAAGAAGUAAACGAGCAGCCAAAGACGACGACGACGACGAAGAAGAGGAAGAAGAAGAAGAAGAAGAAGAAGAAGGCAUGAAAGAAAGGCCCGGGCCUGCUCGGGUGUUCGCAGGCCCGAUCCUCGGUGUCUUGGGACCCACCACGCCAUAGGAUGCCUCCUUCUCCGUCGGUCGGCGGCUCAGCAUCCUUUAAUAUCUCUCGGCGGCCUCCUCUCGUCCAGCGUUUCCUCUUUGUCGCUCGUGUUCCUGUUCAGAGCCUCCCCUCCCGCCGGACAGGCCCUCGCGGUCGGCCACUUUCGAUAGCAUCUUGAUGGAAUGCCUGCGGGGUACACCACUCAUUCUUUCACGUCCCUAAGGACCUGGGAUGUACUGCAAAGAGACGGAGGCACGGCUAGAAUAGGUCCUUCACUUCGCUGAAGUUCUACGCACACAACAGUAAACGGUAGAUGAGGCAGAACAUGGGCUCUAUAUCGACUUUGAUCUACCCAGUCAGCAGGAAGGAAAAGAAGAAAAAGAGGAGAAAGAAAGGAACGUUGGAAAGGGGCUGCUAGUUGGUUCCGUGACUGUUCAUAGGCAGUAAAUCCCUCCGGAUGAUUAGAGGUCGGCGCCAUGGCUUGUUACGGCUCGAUAUGGAAUUCAAUGGAGGAGAAAAGUAACGAUGAAAACGAUUACCGAUUUCUACCUUCGUUACUUCGUUCUCGAUUAUUUUUCGUAAUAGCGUUUGCCACGAUAUCCCGACCCUCGUUCUCUCGUUAACACUCGCGAGAUUUCUUUUUUCCCUAAAUUUCAAAUUAUCAAAGUUGAGAAAUAAAUAAACGAACGAAUAAUGACAAUAAGGAAAA